AUGGAGGCGCUCGUGGUGCGGAAGCUCGGCGAUCCCACGCUGCCUCCCGGCGGCGAGGACUCGCCGUUUGCGGCGGUCUCCGGUGACCGACCAAUUCCGGAGCUGUCCUCGCCGACCUCCGUGCGGGUGCGCGUGGCGGCAACCAGCCUCAAUUUUGCGACGUUCCUACAAGUGCAGGGCAAGUACCAGGAGCGCCCCCCGCUGCCCUACGUCCCGGGGUCCGACUACGCCGGCGUCGUCGACGCCGUCGGCCCCGGCGUGCGCAGAUUCCGCCCCGGCGACCGCGUCUGCUCCCUCGCUAGCGUCGGGUCCUUCGCCGAGCUUGUCGUCGCCGACGAGAAGGCUCUAUACGCAGUCCCUGAUGGAUGUGACCUCGUCGCUGCUGGAGCAUUACCUGUUGCAUUUGGUACAUCACAUUUGGCCCUUGCCCACAGAGCUCAACUAAAGGCUGGUCAGGUGCUACUUGUACUUGGUGCUGCCGGCGGUGUUGGGGUAUCUGCUGUACAGAUAGGAAAAGUAUGCGGUGCUAUUGUUAUUGCAGUUGCCAGGGGAGUUGAGAAAUUGCAGUAUCUCAAGUCAAUAGGAGCCGAUCAUGUGAUUGACUCGAGCAAGGAGAAUGUUAUUGAAAGUGCCAAGUCCUUUUUAAAGGCUAGUGGUCUCAAAGGUGUCGAUGUUUUAUAUGACCCUGUUGGUGGCAAGCUUACUCAAGAUAGCUUGAAACUUCUCAAUUGGGGUGCACAUAUUCUGCUCAUUGGAUUUGCUAGUGGGGAUAUUCCAGUUAUUCGAGCUAACAUUGCACUUAUUAAGAACUGGACAAUUCAUGGUCUGUACUGGGGAAGCUACUUAACUCACCGGCCAGCAGUACUCAUCGACUCACUUAACGAACUCCUGUCAUGGCUUUCAAAGGGUUUGAUAACAGUUAAACUUUCACACACCUACAGGCUCGCUGAGGCCCAUCUCGCUUUUGCUGACUUGAGAGAUAGGAAAGCGGUCGGUAAAGUGAUGAUCGUUAUGGGCUCCUCAGCAAAAUCAAGACUUUGA
RNAcentral lists this ribosomal RNA (1041 nucleotides) under Triticum aestivum (bread wheat). RNAcentral's name for it is "partial small subunit ribosomal RNA". Lineage: Eukaryota; Viridiplantae; Streptophyta; Magnoliopsida; Poales; Poaceae. The record is from RNAcentral.